AGUCUAUGCAUUGAACACAACUUUUGAUCAGAAACAGCAACAGAGGCUUCAGCAGCAGGUGGAGGCUCUCUGCUAUGGCCACGGGGUCGUCCUGCUCCAGCUGCUCCAGCAGGCCAAUCAGAAGCUCUUUGGGUCUGCAGAACCUGGAUCAGAGGAGGCAGCAGGUUCCAGCCCAUACACCUCACUAUCUCCUGCAGAGAGGGGGACAAGAGGAGUGUUAAUGCAGUGUGCAACACACACGUGAACAAGUCUAAGUGCUGGAAC
Trematomus bernacchii (emerald rockcod) is the source of this 264-nucleotide long non-coding RNA. RefSeq lists it as uncharacterized. The transcript has 3 exons. Lineage: Eukaryota; Metazoa; Chordata; Actinopteri; Perciformes; Nototheniidae. The record is from RefSeq and is a predicted model, not a curated record.